This 22-nucleotide microRNA is filed under the name Hyalella azteca. RNAcentral's name for it is "miR-1187-b". The record is from RNAcentral. Lineage: Eukaryota; Metazoa; Arthropoda; Malacostraca; Amphipoda; Hyalellidae.
GUGUGUGUGUAUGUGUGUGUGU